Pelobates cultripes (western spadefoot toad) is the source of this 286-nucleotide non-coding RNA. Lineage: Eukaryota; Metazoa; Chordata; Amphibia; Anura; Pelobatidae. The record is from the annotation of a GenBank genome assembly.
AUUAAGUUCAACGUUUUUAACACUUCUUUUUAUGUGGAUGGCUGCUAAGGCAUAUCACCAUCAUUGUGAUCGGCUACCAGGGCUACGAAACAGCCGGAGUGGCUAAGCAAGCUGUCACGUUUUUUGGUCGUUAUAAUGUUGUAAUUUUGGAUUGUAAAAUCUCAUUGGCCAUCACUAUCUAUGUUAGUGAUGCGGAAAUCCUGGGUACAGCACAAAUCACAAAGGGGUUAAAUAUGUUUUGUUUUUUAUCUUACUUAAACAGUAAAGCAUAUGACCUUAACGGCUA